This 252-nucleotide ribosomal RNA is filed under the name uncultured bacterium. RNAcentral's name for it is "partial 16S ribosomal RNA". It matches the Rfam family "Bacterial small subunit ribosomal RNA", at positions 524 to 776 of the family's 1533-position model. The record is from RNAcentral.
UACGUAGGAUGCGAGCGUUAUCCGGAUUUAUUGGGUUUAAAGGGUGCGUAGGCGGGCUUUUAAGUCAGCGGUAAAAAUUCGGGGCUCAACCCCGUCCGGCCGUUGAAACUGGGGGCCUUGAGUGGGCGAGAAGAAGGCGGAAUGCGUGGUGUAGCGGUGAAAUGCAUAGAUAUCACGCAGAGCCCCGAUUGCGAAGGCAGCCUUCCGGCGCCCUACUGACGCUGAGGCACGAAAGUGCGGGGAUCGAACAGG